Molecule: ribosomal RNA, 260 nt
Filed under: uncultured Leptotrichia sp.
Lineage: Bacteria; Fusobacteriati; Fusobacteriota; Fusobacteriia; Fusobacteriales; Leptotrichiaceae
Description: partial 16S ribosomal RNA
Rfam family: Bacterial small subunit ribosomal RNA
Source: RNAcentral
UGGCGGACGGGUGAGUAACGCGUAAAGAACUUGCCCUUUAGACUGGGAUAACAGAGGGAAACUUCUGAUAAUACUGGAUAAGUUAGUAUAUCGCAUGAUAUGCAAAUGAAAGCUACGGCACUAAAGGAGAGCUUUGCGUCCUAUUAGCUAGUUGGUAAGGUAAGAGCUUACCAAGGCGAUGAUAGGUAGCCGGCCUGAGAGGGUGGACGGCCACAAGGGGGACUGAGAUACGGCCCUUACUCCUACGGGAGGCAGCAGAU